GUGGUUGUGGCUCAGCAGUAGAGCGCUUGCCUAAUGAGUGAGAGGUGCUGGGUUCGAUCCUCAGAACCACA
This 71-nucleotide transfer RNA is filed under the name Marmota monax (woodchuck). It matches the Rfam family "tRNA". Rfam says of the family: Transfer RNA (tRNA) molecules are approximately 80 nucleotides in length. Their secondary structure includes four short double-helical elements and three loops (D, anti-codon, and T loops). Lineage: Eukaryota; Metazoa; Chordata; Mammalia; Rodentia; Sciuridae. The record is from Rfam by way of RNAcentral.